This is a long non-coding RNA of Salvia miltiorrhiza (redroot sage), 564 nucleotides long. RefSeq lists it as uncharacterized. Lineage: Eukaryota; Viridiplantae; Streptophyta; Magnoliopsida; Lamiales; Lamiaceae. The record is from RefSeq and is a predicted model, not a curated record. The transcript has 2 exons.
GAUUUAAUUGGUUUUAUUUAUAAUUCCAAUUAUUAAAAGAUGAGUAAGAAUAUUGUUGGUGUUCUUAACUCAAGAGAAAAUGUUUUCAAUUAUUUAUUCAUUAAAUUUUGAAAACCCGGCUAAGUGAAUCAUAGAAUAUUAAGCACUACACCAUGACUUAAGAUUAGAAUUCAAGGAGACCUAUUGAGAAUAGAUUUCUUGUAGGCUUUGAGCAACAGGAGGAUUAGCACUGCUAUUCCGAUUCAGAGAUAAGGAUAAACGACAGGCUUUGCCUAAUCAGGUUGAGCAGUUGAUGGAAUGGAAUGAUGUUGAGCGGGUGUUCCUUUGACAUUUCAAGAAAUGUAACCUUGAGUAUACAUCUUCAUAUGUAUAUCUCACACGCUUUCCGCUGCAAAACACUUUGAUUAAGAUAGCUCUAUGAUAUGAAGUUGUGAUACGUGUUAUUGGGUAACCACCUUAAUCAGUUCUCAAUUAUGUGUAUCCAAAUAAUCAUAUAUGAUCCUAGCAUUUUAUCUAUGAGUGACAUUUCCAUAUACUUUAAUGUUAAGUAAUUGUCCAUUUCCA